CCCCUCUCAAGGUCACACCUGGAGAGUUUCCAGUACUCUACCAGUCUCAGGUAUGGGAGGGAGAGUCAAGCAGAGGCCUACCCAUUCCAUUCCUAGCUUGGCCAGUGGCUAGCAAGUGAGUGGAAGGCAAUCUGCUACAAGU
This is a non-coding RNA of Ornithorhynchus anatinus (platypus), 142 nucleotides long. NCBI's taxonomy places the organism in Eukaryota, Metazoa, Chordata, Mammalia, Monotremata, Ornithorhynchidae. The record is from Rfam.